Long non-coding RNA from Leptopilina heterotoma, 2876 nucleotides. RefSeq lists it as uncharacterized. The record is from RefSeq and is a predicted model, not a curated record. The transcript is spliced from 3 exons. Lineage: Eukaryota; Metazoa; Arthropoda; Insecta; Hymenoptera; Figitidae.
UCUAAAAAUUCAAACUUUUACUAGAAAUUUAACACUACUUUGAUUUUAUAAUUAGAGUUUAAUUCAAAGCGGAAUCCUCGACGAUGAAAGUUCGUUUCCACAAUAAAGAGCUAAGAAGCUCAACUUCCGCGGUGAUAUGAAUACUUUACUGCUUGCUUAGCGAAAAAUACAAGUUAAAAAUUAUUAUUAUUGGUGAUUAAAUGAAACUUCUAAAUUCAUACUAUAUUAACUUUAUUCUUAAUCUCUCAACAUAUCUUGUUAAUACUUUCGAGGUAGAACAGUAUCUGUUUUCUCCAAGACCGUACGGUCCCAUCCUGGGGGCCUUUGCCCCCCCCCCCCCACGAGUGCCAGGAAGGAAUACAUAUAUACGCCUAUUUAUGUCUGAUUCGCUAAAAAGUGGAAAAACCCAAAAAGGCGGAAAAAGAGGGUGUUUUAGAUUUUUACUAACUCGUCUAUGCAGUAGGGAUUACGAAACAAUAGUGUCCCCUUUUUUAUUACCCAGGCAAAAAGGGCUCUUAGGUUUUUAUGGUAACCAGAUGAGCGAUUUACUCGAGUUUCUUUAAGAAGCAAUAAAACUAUAAAAUAAGAAUUUCUAAAACGUGACAAAUAAGUAAAACAUGUACUUUAAUUUAACGUUAUAUUCUAAAAAGUCCAAAAAUAUUUAUUGUGAGGGAUUAAGUUUCGUCACCUCUACUGCAUGCUUUAUUGUAUUCAAUUUUAUGAUUCGUUCCACUCAGGAUUUUAUCGUGAGAAAAUAUUUGGUCGAUUUGCCCAUGUUGCUUGCCAAUAAUUUGAAUUAUAUAGAAAUCUCAAUAAUUAUAAUGUGUUGGUUGCGUUAAUUUAUGUUUAAUUAUUUGAAUUAAACCGCGCAUUAAGUGCUGCCUCUAUUGGGAAAGGAGCGUAUCAUGCACAUACGUCACACUUCCCUCCUUAAUAAAAAGGCAUUCUUUUAUAAGAUGUCUUUUUAUAAUUAAAGUAAUUAACAACACGUAGAUUAAACGAAAUAUAGUUACAAUUUCGUAUGUGUAAUGGAAAAUAUAGUGUUCACAUAAAACAUUCAUCCUGUUGUGAAAUUUAAGAGUUUAUUUGCAAUUCAUAAAUAUCCGUAUAUACGUCGACAUAUAUAGUUAUGGUUCAAUAAUAUAUGUAUUUCAACAAGUUCUGCAAAGAUACUCGACGUUUUUUUUUACCUGCUCUGACUCUUCGAGCAAAAAGGAUAAGUAGAAUUUAAAAUUUCUUUAAAUAUAGAGAUCUUUAAACUUAAAUAACUUUUCUAUUUCUCUGAGGUAUCCUAAGGAAAAGUGUCAAAAUUUAACAUUGUCGUAUAUUUAUUAAUCAAAUAUAUAUGCAAAUUUUGUUUAUAUUCAUACUGCAUAAAAUUUUCUAUCGCUUGAUUAAUAGUACUAAAAAUAAACAAUUACAACCGUAUAGCGUACACGUGUUUCUAUCUAUUACUUUGCGAUGAGGACAUGAACACGCUUUACUACAAAAUUUGUCGGAGAUGCUUUCAAUAAUUAAUUUCUUUCUUUCAGGCUUAUGAUACUUAAUCGCAUAACUGAUUUUACUUCUUUACAGCAAAAAAUCGAUCGUGGAAUUGGACAGAAAAGGCAUACUUAACAUGCCAUCACAGUCUACAGAACAUCACUCAAAAUAUUUUGAAAAGAAGAAGAAACUUUAUUUAUUUUAAAAUGUACUUCACCGAUAGUUGAUAGGCCUUGUUUAAUAAUAAGAAAUAGAUCAUAUUUUAUUUCUGGAUUUAUUGAAGUUUUUCUUCAUUUAAACUAGAUUACUUAACAAAAUUUAAUUCAUCUCGUGUAUUAACAAUACUGUAAAACAACGUUAUAGGGUACUCGCAGCUCAAACGUACUUUCUUGAAUUCAACUUAUUUUUGGCUUAAAAAUAAGACAGUAGUCGGUCCUAAAAUCAAUUUACCAAUCUGAAAUUUAGUUAAUAUUUAGAAUAGUAUAAGUUGGUUUAUUUAAAAUCAAGCUCAAACAAGACUCAAUUUUCACAGUGAAGGAAUUGAAUUUAACCGUAUUCAGGAUCAGCACUAACAAUAGUGACACUAAAAGAAAGUUGUUUUCAACGUUUCGAAGGGUAUGAUAACCUGUCUAAUUGGUGCAUCGCAUUGCACAAGUCCGUCGUCGUCGCCCGUUUUGUCAUCUUUAUUUUCGUCCGAUUUCUUUUAUGACAAUCUUUUGACAUUCGCGUUUUUCAAUGAUUACGAGCAAUGUGCCCCUUUUACCGCAGUAAAAGCAACUAUCAUCAUUAUCGUCGGGUUUUAUUUAUUUUCAUUUCUUUCGAUUUCUUGGAAGGUUUCGCGGCAAAUUUUCUUACGCACGUGCUCAUUGUUAUAGGGAACAAAUAGAAUAUUUCAUUUUCUUUGAUAUUUAUUCUCGGGUGAUUUUUCGCGUUUUCUUGAGGUUCAUCGAUUUUUCUAUUAAAUCCCUUUUCGAACUUGACUUAUUAUUUUUUUUUUUUUCGCAAAGUUGUUUCCUAAAGGGGAAACUUCUCUGUUAAAAUAAUUAUUCAACUCACUUUAACAUUAAUUUUUUAUUAAAGCCCAUUAUAAAACUAUCGCGUGCUAUUUUCCGGAAUGUUUUAAAAAAAUCGGGAGUCCUCGUUUUCGCGCUAUAUUCAUCCUCAAUCAAUUUUAUUAACCUUUGAGUAAUGCUGUAUUUCUCAGUGACCUACCUAAUUUUUCUAGUUUUAUAAAUUUUUCUUUUAUUGGUCUUUUAUUAACAAAAAUAGCUUUUUUGGAUUUUCACUAUUAUAUAAUCAUAACAAGUGAAAAAUAGAUAAACAAUUGCUGAGAGUUAACAACGAAAUUAUUUUAAAUAAAAAUCAUUUGAGAACGAAUACUACGUCAAUUGAAA